GUCUUUUUGAAUUUUAUUUAAAGUCUAACCUGCCCACUGAUUUAUUAUUAAAUGGCCGCAGUAUACUAACUGUGCAAAGGUAGCAUAAUCAUUAGUCUUUUAAUUGAAGGCUGGUAUGAAUGGUUGGACGAGAUAUUAACUGUUUCAUAAAAAUUUAUAAUAGAAUUUUAUUUUUUAGUCAAAAAGCUAAAAUUUAUUUAAAAGACGAGAAGACCCUAUAAAUCUUUAUAUUUAAUUUAAUUUUAAUUUAUUAGAUUUUUUUUAUUAAAGUGAGUAAUAAUAUUUUAUUGGGGUGAUAUUAAAAUUUAAUAAACUUUUAAUUAUUUAAAUCAUUAAUUAAUGAAUAAUUGAUCCGUUAUUAACGAUUAAAAAUUUAAGUUACUUUAGGGAUAACAGCGUAAUUUUUUUGGAGAGUUCAUAUCGAUAAAAAAGAUUGCGACCUCGAUGUUGGAUUAAGAGAUAUAUUUAGGUGUAGCCGUUUAAAUACUAAGUCUGUUCGACUUUUAAAUUCUUACGUG
RNAcentral lists this ribosomal RNA (518 nucleotides) under Neomyia bristocercus. RNAcentral's name for it is "partial 16S ribosomal RNA". The stretch from base 389 to 518 matches the Rfam family "Bacterial large subunit ribosomal RNA", at positions 2473 to 2602 of the family's 2925-position model. The record is from RNAcentral. Lineage: Eukaryota; Metazoa; Arthropoda; Insecta; Diptera; Muscidae.